Long non-coding RNA from Spinacia oleracea (spinach), 1795 nucleotides. RefSeq lists it as uncharacterized. Lineage: Eukaryota; Viridiplantae; Streptophyta; Magnoliopsida; Caryophyllales; Amaranthaceae. The transcript is spliced from 2 exons. The record is from RefSeq and is a predicted model, not a curated record.
UCUACUCCUCUUUCUCGAUCUUUUUCCUCUCAUUUUUUAAUGUAUGUUGUCUUUCUUAUCCAAAUUCAAUUCAAAUUCUUCUUCUCCUCCUCAGUGGGUGAUGCUGAUUUUACACAGAUAGAUACUGGAUGCUGAUAAAGGGCACCGGUUGGAGAGCUCAACAAGACGAAUAGCAACUCGGGACAGAGUUCAAUUUGUGCCAAUGCGUGAUGUUCAAUUAAGGUUUGUAAAAUCUCACACACAUAUAGAACUGAUCUCAACGUUUAAGUCAUUUUUUUUAUAAUAUGGCUUUGUGUUGUCUUGUGUGCAGCGGGACAGAGAUUAUAACCCAGUUAUUACAGCUACAAUCUUUGUCCUCUCAUUAUAAUCCAGUUAUUAAAGCUACAAUCAAACCCAAAAAUCAUAUUCCACACAGUAUGAUAAAAUCAAGAAAAAAAAACCCCACCAAAAAAAAUUAAAAUAAUCUCAAAUUGUUGCAUGAUGCAGCCCCUUAUAUCCCCAUAACUCAUAAGUGGAGAUCCAUUUUGCAAUUUCAUCAUCAUUAAGAUCGAUGCUUUCCAAUUUCUAAGAAAUAUUAUGUGAAAUUAAUAGAUGCGAGAAAUCAAAAUGUUGAUUACAGAAUACGAGAUAUAAACACGAAAUUAGAGAUUUUGGGGAAGAAAGAGAACAGAGACCGAGAAAGAGGGAAGAGAAAUGGAAUAAAAUCAUUGGAAUAGGGUCCAUAAACGGAGAGAUUUAACGUUUUCUGUUACAAGGUAGUGUUACUGAAAAUAUCAAACUUAUAAGAUAGGAAAAUAUAAAAAAGUUUUUAUAAGGUAGUAAUUCACAAAACGUCCAAAUAUUAAGGUAGUAUUUCACAAAAUUUCCUAUUUUUUAAUUGAAUGAAAGAGGGUGUGGGGACAAAAAAAAUUAGUGGGAAGAGAGAGAGACAAGAUAAUAAUUAUGGAGUCAUUCCUUAUUUAGAAGUGUAACUGCUAUAAUAUAGGACUCUACAAUAUUAACACUACGACAUCAUCUUCCUCAGUUUCCGUAUCCUAUCACAUAUUUUGUUAAUUAUGAACGUUUUUCGCCAAAACACAGAAAUUUUAUUGCAGCAUUGCAGGAAGAAAAGGCACCUAAAACAUUUAAACAGGCUAUGCAACAUGAGGGAUGGCGAAAAGCAAUGUCUGCUGAAAUUGAUGCUCUUGAAGAACAAGGCACUUGAACAUUAGAGACCUUGACAGCAGUAAAGAAAGCACUUGGGAGCAAAUGGGUGUACACAGAAAAACGUGAUAAAGAUGGGAAUUUGUUGCGCCUUAAGGCAAGGUUAGUUUGUUUGGGUAAUCACCAGGAGGAGGGGUUGGAUUACAAUGAGACAUUUGCUCCUGUGGAAAAAAUGGCAACAAUUCGUACUUUCUUGGCCGUUGCCGCAAUUAAGAAUUGGGAGGUUCACCAGAUGGAUGUCCAUAAUGCAUUCUUACAUGGUGACUUAGAGGAGGAGAUUUAUAUGAAGAUUGCACAUGGAUUUCAGAAGAAUAAUUCUGAUAGAGUAUGCAGAAUGAGAAAGUCGUUGUACGGCUUGAAACAGGCUCCUCGAUGUUGGUAUGAGAAAUUGUCUACGACCCUAUUGUCUUAUGGGUACAAGCAAUCAUAUUCUGAUUACUCUUUGUUCACUCUUUCCAAAGGUUCGUUACAAUUAAGUCUUCUCAUUUAUGUCGACGAUAUGAUUAUUGCAGGAUGUUAGGUUAUGAUGCAUAUGACAAUUCAUAAAUCAUGCGGAAAAACCAUAAAGCCAGGAAAGCAUAUUAUUUACACA